Long non-coding RNA from Triticum aestivum (bread wheat), 2015 nucleotides. RefSeq lists it as uncharacterized. The transcript has 3 exons. The record is from RefSeq and is a predicted model, not a curated record. Lineage: Eukaryota; Viridiplantae; Streptophyta; Magnoliopsida; Poales; Poaceae.
UCCGGUUUGCUUCUAGUGAGAGCGACUCAGCGGCGGAAACCUGUUCUGUUUAGGGUUGCAGACACUCUGCUCCGGCGGCCAUGGGGUUCUUGAUGCAGCCGUUCAACAGCAGGACUCUCAUAGAGGAAGUGAACGACAACGACAUACCCCUCGAGCCUCUCCAUUAUCCUGUGGUGUUGCCGCCAGGCGGUGAGUUGCCACCAGCAAGUGCCUCUAGUACGGAUGCGUAGAUCUGUGCGGCGGCGGCGGAGGCAGGGAGUGCAUAUAAGGCGCAAGCAUAUGAACACUCCAUUGAGCAAAUUGAUCCAAAAACUCAUGGCUGGACACGGAGGUAUGCGUUCUGCACUCUCUGCACGAACAUAGACAUGAAUCUAAGAAAUGUUGCGUGUGUAAUUAUAGCACAGCUACAUGUGUGUGCAUUAGUAUAAGAUUAUUAUGAUACGUAUAGCUUAAAUUCCUAUGACUGCAGAGUAUCCAAAUAGAAACUGAAAAAGUCUUAUAGAAUUGAAAACGGUAAAGAGGAUAUAUUUUUUUGAGACUGAAACUUGCAACAUAGAAAAUUGCUGGGCCUCAUGAAUGCUUAAGUGUGGCAUAUGUUCCAGGAAAUGUCCUGAUAAUGCAUGGGAAAAACGAGUAAACGACAGACAUCCGGUAAAUGGAGGUGUUAAUCUGAAUUUUGGAAUCCUCUGUUUUUCAGUACAGUGAACUGAUUGUGCACACUUCUUUUUAAAUUCAGAGUUAGGAUUGGAAGUACAUGCUUCUGCAGUUUGACAGGGAAGCGGAAGAAAACAUCAAGGAGAAGCGGACGAGAAUUGUAAUAAUGUAUCUUUUGAUGGCAAUUAGAAAAGUGUUUUCGCAGGGGAGGCCUCUUCUACGAGCAAACAUGGCUACAGAAAGGCAUGCUGGCAAGAUAUACACCCGAGCAAUGUUCAAGCAGUUUGGGCAUAUAGUUUACAAGUGUGGUGCUUACCGGGUGGAAGAGAUUGAGAAAGGGAAGCUAUAUGUCGCAAUCCAUAUGUAUGCAAGUCGUAGAGAGAAGUGGUGCAGGAUUUCGUACAAGGUGACAGUGUUGAACGGUUGAGAGGAAUUUGACUGUGAAUGUGGCCAUUUUUCUCACAUGGGCUUGCUGUGCAGCCACGCUCUGAAGGUUAUGGACUUUAUCCGAAUAACAGAAAUACCAAAGAAACACAUAGUGAAGAGGUGGACUAGAGACGCCCGGGACAUCCUGGCUCCACCUCUAAACAGUACCAGAAGGACAAUGCUAACAGCAACAACCCAUUUAGUUAUAGGCAUUUCACUAUGUACAUGCACGCAAUGUAGCUUGUACGAAUGGGAGACACCGGUGUUCAGGUUAUGAUCGACUGGUUGCAUUAUUCAAACGAUGUGCUGAAGAAAUGAAACCAUUUCCGGAGAUUAGAGACAGAUUUGGACUGGAGGACCAUAUGGCUGAAAAUGGGGUUGUUGUGAACUAGUUUCAGGCAGAAGGUGACCAAGUAGGAGUGGGAGUCAAAAUGGCGAGGCUAAUGGGGAACGAUGAUGUAAAGUCAACUGUUGAAUCAGGGAAUAUGUUGGCAGGCUUAUUACCUCGAGCCAAGAGGAAGGAAAUAGGAAGGCUUACAAAAACUCAACAAGCAGAGAAAAGGCGACGUACGAAGGGCUGAGUAAGAGAACAAGGUUCUGCAUGAUUUGUCGGCGACAAGGUCACAAGUGGACAACCUGCCCUGAUCGCGGAGACGUGCCAAAACAGAUCGGAAGCCGGGGAGAUGUAAAAAUUGUGGAGUUGAAGGGCAUCGUCGAAAUAACUGCCACGGAGCGGCUGAGCUCAGGAAGAAGAAUUGAUUUGAUUACCGCUUAUGAAGUAGUUCAUUUGUGUUUGUACCUGAAUGUUCAUAAGUUGUCGUGCAUGAAAUAGUUCAGUUGUGUGGUACCUGAAUAAACUGAACCUGUCUGAAUACAGCCUGUGUUGAUGAACUUGCUUUGCCUAGGGAUGUUCGUGUGUUGAUGAACUUAUUUCA